UCCCCCCUCAAACCCCGGGUUUGGUGUUAGACCCAAGUUGUGUGAACAACUGGUCUCAAAGACAAUGACGGCGUCCGUGGGACCCUCGGUGCAACGAGCUUUUAGGAGCACGCGUCGAGUUUCAAGGACCUUCCGGGCCGGUCUCCUUUUUAUCAUCUCAA
RNAcentral lists this unclassified non-coding RNA (161 nucleotides) under uncultured Knufia. RNAcentral's name for it is "sequence contains ITS2". The record is from RNAcentral. Lineage: Eukaryota; Fungi; Ascomycota; Eurotiomycetes; Chaetothyriales; Chaetothyriaceae.